This 211-nucleotide long non-coding RNA is filed under the name Elaeis guineensis (African oil palm). RNAcentral describes it as "long non-coding RNA (EGUI_LNC017628)". The record is from RNAcentral. Lineage: Eukaryota; Viridiplantae; Streptophyta; Magnoliopsida; Arecales; Arecaceae.
GGGAUAUUACUUUUACCUGUCUGCUAAACAAAAGAUGUUAGUCAACAGUAAGACAUAUUUUUUGAAAAAAAAAUUUCUUAGUGAAGGAAUAGGUGCCUCUAAAAUCGAGCUUGAUGAAGUUCGACAAGUAGAGAAUCGACAUCAAUGAUUGAAUCUGAACCAGAUUUGGUGAGAUCAAAUCUGGAGCCCAAUGAACAAAUAUCCUUAAGAC